This 746-nucleotide ribosomal RNA is filed under the name Salmonella enterica subsp. enterica serovar Paratyphi B var. L(+) tartrate +. Its description in RNAcentral is "partial 23S ribosomal RNA". It matches the Rfam family "Bacterial large subunit ribosomal RNA", at positions 446 to 1191 of the family's 2925-position model. Lineage: Bacteria; Pseudomonadati; Pseudomonadota; Gammaproteobacteria; Enterobacterales; Enterobacteriaceae. The record is from RNAcentral.
GGGGGGACCAUCCUCCAAGGCUAAAUACUCCUGACUGACCGAUAGUGAACCAGUACCGUGAGGGAAAGGCGAAAAGAACCCCGGCGAGGGGAGUGAAAAAGAACCUGAAACCGUGUACGUACAAGCAGUGGGAGCACAGGUUUACCUGUGUGACUGCGUACCUUUUGUAUAAUGGGUCAGCGACUUAUAUUCUGUAGCAAGGUUAACCGUAUAGGGGAGCCGUAGGGAAACCGAGUCUUAAUUGGGCGUUAAGUUGCAGGGUAUAGACCCGAAACCCGGUGAUCUAGCCAUGGGCAGGUUGAAGGUUGGGUAACACUAACUGGAGGACCGAACCGACUAAUGUUGAAAAAUUAGCGGAUGACCUGUGGCUGGGGGUGAAAGGCCAAUCAAACCGGGAGAUAGCUGGUUCUCCCCGAAAGCUAUUUAGGUAGCGCCUCGUGAAUUCAUCUCCGGGGGUAGAGCACUGUUUCGGCUAGGGGGCCAUCCCGGCUUACCAACCCGAUGCAAACUGCGAAUACCGGAGAAUGUUAUCACGGGAGACACACGGCGGGUGCUAACGUCCGUCGUGAAGAGGGAAACAACCCAGACCGCCAGCUAAGGUCCCAAAGUCAUGGUUAAGUGGGAAACGAUGUGGGAAGGCCCAGACAGCCAGGAUGUUGGCUUAGAAGCAGCCAUCAUUUAAAGAAAGCGUAAUAGCUCACUGGUCGAGUCGGCCUGCGCGGAAGAUGUAACGGGGCUAAACCAUG